UUAAAACAAUAAAAUGGAAUGCCUUGAUCUCUCCCUCUUUACAUACUCUCCUUUUUUAAUAAAGGAUGGAUUGUCCCCCUGGUGGAGGGACAAAGAGAGGAGGCUAAAACUGUCGCGUUUGUGUCCCUCUUUCCGUGGAUUUUUCCACUAACUGCAAAUAAUAUUGUCGACUUAUUUGUUCCCCAGUGGAGCUGCCAACUGAAUAUGGUGACCUGCUCCUACACACAGAAAUCCGAUGGCUCAGCAGGGGACGGAUUCUGCUUCCUUCUUUUGUCCCUUUUGAGUGAAAUAAAAGAGUUCAUGCAGUCCAGAGGGGAAGACGCCGCGCUGCUGGAGGACACUGACUGGACACUGGACCUUGCAUUUUUAACGGACAUUACUGGGAAACGGAACAGUUUGAACUGGGAGCUGCAAGGCAAAGCAACGAUGCCCAAUUCAACGUGGCCUACUACUGCAACGUUCUGGUGGAUUCAACAGGUCUCUGCUACUGGUUACCACCCGCCAUCUUCAGAUCGUCCUGCUCCAUCAGCGUCAAAUAUUUCCCCUUUGACUGGCAGGACUGCACGCUCAAAUUCACGUAUGCACGGGCAGGAUUUUUCAUUGUUGUUUGAAACGCAGACAAACUCUGACAUGAUGUUUUAAACUGAGCUGAGUCAAGAUUUUAUAGAAUCUAAACACAUAUGAGAGGAGAAAAAGGUGCAAAAAUAAAAUGCACGGUGCAGCUAAACUCUCCCAGUAGGAAAAGAGGCUUUUUAAAUUCUGAACUGCAUUUCCCAUGUUGCCUUGCAGCUCUCUAACGUACAAUGCCAAAGAGAUCAGGUUGCUCCUGAAGGAAGACAUAGUCAUUGAAACCAAGUGG
RNAcentral lists this long non-coding RNA (859 nucleotides) under Takifugu rubripes (torafugu). Its description in RNAcentral is "lncRNA (ENSTRUG00000029340.1)". Lineage: Eukaryota; Metazoa; Chordata; Actinopteri; Tetraodontiformes; Tetraodontidae. The record is from RNAcentral.